RNAcentral lists this long non-coding RNA (356 nucleotides) under Mus musculus (house mouse). RNAcentral describes it as "predicted gene, 48707". The record is from RNAcentral. Lineage: Eukaryota; Metazoa; Chordata; Mammalia; Rodentia; Muridae.
GUUCACGUGGAGAACUGGACAAACACUGGUAUGAGAGCAGCCCCCGUUUAUUGGUGGAGGAGACAUUCCAAGAUGCUCACUGAAUGCUGGAAACCAUAUUCAACUGUGGAUAUGCUAUAUUCAUACCUGGGAUACUGUCUAAUUUAUAUAUUAGAUCAUUACAGAGCUGGUUGGAGACAUUUCCUUGGACACUGUCUUUCCCAGCUCAAUUUCUAACAUCCUGAAAUUUGAUAGCCAAACGGAAUGUCUAGACACAUUAUUAAAAAAAGGACAAACACAUAUAUCCAGAAGAUGUCCCAACCAGUAAGAAGGACACAUGCUCCACUAUGUUCAUAGCAGCCUUAUUUAUAAUAGCC